Molecule: ribosomal RNA, 514 nt
Filed under: uncultured Glomus
Lineage: Eukaryota; Fungi; Glomeromycota; Glomeromycetes; Glomerales; Glomeraceae
Description: SSU rRNA
Rfam family: Eukaryotic small subunit ribosomal RNA
Source: RNAcentral
AGCAGCCGCGGUAAUUCCAGCUCCAAUAGCGUAUAUUAAAGUUGUUGCAGUUAAAAAGCUCGUAGUUGAAUUUCGGGGUUAGUAGAUUGGUCAUGCCUCUGGUAUGCACUGGCCUUACUGAUUCCUCCUUCCUGAUGAACCGUAAUGCCAUUAAUUUGGUGUUGCGGGGAAACUGGACUGUUACUUUGAAAAAUUAGAGUGUUUAAAGCAGGCUAACGCUUGAAUACAUUAGCAUGGAAUAAUGAAAUAGGACGUUCGAUCUUAUUUUGUUGGUUUCUAGGAUUGACGUAAUGAUUAAUAGGGAUAGUUGGGGGCAUUAGUAUUCAAUUGUCAGAGGUGAAAUUCUUGGAUUUAUUGAAGACUAACUACUGCGAAAGCAUUUGCCAAGGAUGUUUUCAUUAAUCAAGAACGAAAGUUAGGGGAUCGAAGACGAUCAGAUACCGUCGUAGUCUUAACCAUAAACUAUAGCCGACUAGGGAUCGGAUGAUGUUAAUUUUAUGACUCAUUCGGCGCC